GGGGGUAACGCAAAGACUCGCAGAGAUCGCCACGGAAAUACCCGCCCGUGAGACGCAUCUGGAGGAGAGUGUUCACAGCGGCUGAGGUCUCAUUGGGUUCCUAGCCCCUGCUCACCGCCCUGCUGGCCGGGGCAUUCUGGCGCCCGAGCGUGGGGCAAAGAAGCCUUCUGGACCUAGAAACUCCGCUGAUCGAGGGGGUAGGCCUACCCGAAUUCACUGAGUCACCACGGCCGAGGGGGUAACGCAAAGACUCGCAGAGAUCACCAUGGAGAUACCCGACCGUGAGACGCAUCUGGAGGAGAGUGUUCACAGCGGCUGAGAAAAACAACUCAACAAUUUGAAGAUGGCUCCAAAGAAGUCCAGCCGUGUGAUACUUCCUUGUCUUCUCUACUUGCCCCUAUUAUUGGCCAUUCCCACACAUGCAGCUCUUGUUUAUCAGUGGGAAUUUCAGGUUAGAGAGACACAAACUAAGGACUCACACACCACAGUCCGAAACAUUGGCAUGGCAUGCUGUCCUCCUAAAGGUUGCCGGGAGACUGUUGUUAUUAAUAUUUCUCCCAAAACUAUAUCUAGCACCUAUCGGCAUUAUGCCUGCUUUCCCUUUGAUAAUAAAGACAGGAGCGGAUGCCUUACUGAUGUCUCCACUUAUGGAGGCUGCCGCUACUGGUCCUGCAUUAUUCAUGAUGCCCACUCGCCAAAAACCCGCACUGGAAAGCCCAGUAUUCUCAGAUUACAAGGGUCCCAGUUUACUAUUCAGAUUUCUGAUCCUUUGAAUACCCGCUGGCAAGAGGGAGUUAUAGGUAAAUUAUAUAAUGAUGGAUAUUCCAGAUAUCCUACUGGAACUAUACACAUCUCCCGACAAUUGGUGUUGGCUGAGCACAGAGAACAAGUAAAUCAAGUCAUUAUAGAAACAGAAAAUAAGCUCCAUUCGGUUUUCCAAACAAAUUCGGCCAUGGAAGUCACUAAAAAAUGGGCUAACUGGCCCCUUUAUCUUCAAUAUGCAAUUAAUCUUUUAAAUUAUUCUCAGAUUGUUCUCAACACUUCUCGUUGCUUGCUGUGUGCAUCCCUUUCACGACCCAUUAUCGCAGCAGCACCUUUAAACAA
Long non-coding RNA from Erinaceus europaeus (western European hedgehog), 1104 nucleotides. RefSeq lists it as uncharacterized. The transcript is spliced from 3 exons. The record is from RefSeq and is a predicted model, not a curated record. NCBI's taxonomy places the organism in Eukaryota, Metazoa, Chordata, Mammalia, Eulipotyphla, Erinaceidae.